Molecule: ribosomal RNA, 426 nt
Filed under: uncultured bacterium
Lineage: Bacteria
Description: bacterial SSU rRNA
Rfam family: Bacterial small subunit ribosomal RNA
Source: RNAcentral
GCGCCUUAUGCAUGCAAGUCGAGCGAAGCUUUUCAGUAGUUUACUACAGAAAAUGACUGAGCGGCGAACGGGUGAGUAACGCGUGAGCAACCUACCUUAGUUACUGGGAUAGCCCGAGGAAACUCGGAUUAAUACCGGAUAUUCUUAUUUAAUCACAUGAUUAUUUAAGGAAAGGUCAGCCGAACUAAGAUGGGCUCGCGUUCUAUCAGCUAGUUGGUAGGGUAAUGGCCUACCAAGGCUACGACGGAUAGCUGGUCUGAGAGGACGAUCAGCCACACUGGGACUGAGACACGGCCCAGACUCCUACGGGAGGCUGCAGCAGGGAAUAUUGCGCAAUGAGCGAAAGCUUGACGCAGCGACACCGCGUGUGGGAUGACGGAUCUAGGUUUGUAAACCACUUUCAGGAGGGAAGAAAAUGACGGUACC